Molecule: non-coding RNA, 88 nt
Organism: Neophaeococcomyces mojaviensis
Lineage: Eukaryota; Fungi; Ascomycota; Eurotiomycetes; Chaetothyriales
Source: the annotation of a GenBank genome assembly
GGGCGCGUGGCCUAAUGGUAAGGCGUUGGUUUUCGGUUGCCCAAAUGUGAUCCACCAAAGAUUGUCGGUUCGAACCCGGUCGCGCUCG